Molecule: long non-coding RNA, 220 nt
Filed under: Homo sapiens (human)
Lineage: Eukaryota; Metazoa; Chordata; Mammalia; Primates; Hominidae
Description: HSALNT0026061
Source: RNAcentral
UGGGGACUGAGAGGUGGAAGCCAGGAAAUCCUCUUAUGGAGAGAAAGGCAGCCUCAGGUGGACCUGCCCGGGUGAUGGCUUCAGAGAAGUAGAGAUGAGGAGAGGGGGUCCUCUUCAUGUGCGUGGAAAAAUGUCAGUGUAUAGGGUGUCCUAUAAGCCUGCAACCCCCACGGGAAAGCAGACAUCGCCACAGCUGGCUCCGCCCUGCAGCACAAACAGG